Molecule: ribosomal RNA, 459 nt
Filed under: uncultured bacterium
Lineage: Bacteria
Description: SSU rRNA
Rfam family: Bacterial small subunit ribosomal RNA
Source: RNAcentral
AGAAUCAACGCUGGCGGCGUGCCUAACACAUGCAAGUCGCACGAGAAAGGGACUUCGGUCCUGAGUAAAGUGGCGCACGGGUGAGUAACACGUGACUAAUCUACCCUCGAGUGGGGAAUAACCUAGGGAAACCUGGGCUAAUACCGCAUAACACUUACGAGUCAAAGCAGCAAUGCGCUUGGGGAGGAGGUCGCGGCAGAUUAGUUAGUUGGCGGGGUAAUGGCCCACCAAGACGAUGAUCUGUAUCCGGCCUGAGAGGGCGCACGGACACACUGGAACUGAAACACGGUCCAGACUCCUACGGGAGGCAGCAGUGGGGAAUUUUGCGCAAUGGGGGAAACCCUGACGCAGCAACGCCGCGUGGAGGAUGAAGUCUCGUUGGGACGUAAACUCCUUUCGACAGGGACGAUAAUGACGGUACCUGUAGAAGAGCCCGGCUAACUUCGCGCCAGCAGCCGC